CCUACGGGAGGCAGCAGUGAGGAAUAUUGGUCAAUGGACGAGAGUCUGAACCAGCCAAGUAGCGUGAAGGAUGACUGCCCUAUGGGUUGUAAACUUCUUUUAUAUGGGAAUAAAAUGUUCCACGUGUGGGAGUGUGUAUGUAACAUAUGAAUAAGGCUCGGCUAACUCCGUGCCAGCAGCCGAGGUAAUACGGAGGAUCCGAGCGUUAUCCGGAUUUAGUGGGUUUAAAGGGAGCGUAGGUGGAUUUUUAAGUCAGUUGUUAAAGUUUGCGGCUCAACCGUAAAAUUGAAGUUGAAACUGGCAGUCUUGAGUACAGUAGAGGUGGGCGGAAUGCGUGGUGUAGCGGUGAAAUGCUUAGAUAUCACGAAGAACUCCGAUUGCGAAGGCAGCUCACUGGACUGCAACUGACACUGAGGCUCGAAAGUGUGGGUAUCAAACAGGAUUAGAUACCCCGGUAGUC
Molecule: ribosomal RNA, 460 nt
Filed under: uncultured bacterium
Lineage: Bacteria
Description: partial 16S ribosomal RNA
Rfam family: Bacterial small subunit ribosomal RNA
Source: RNAcentral